RNAcentral lists this transfer-messenger RNA (367 nucleotides) under Ruminococcus sp. It matches the Rfam family "transfer-messenger RNA". Rfam says of the family: Bacterial tmRNA, also known as 10Sa RNA or SsrA, is named for its dual tRNA and mRNA-like properties. Its role is to liberate the mRNA from a stalled ribosome. To accomplish this part of the tmRNA is used as a reading frame that ends in a translation stop signal. The record is from RNAcentral. Lineage: Bacteria; Bacillati; Bacillota; Clostridia; Eubacteriales; Oscillospiraceae.
GGGGGCGUAAAGGUUUCGACGGGGGUUUUGAAGUGUGAUAAGCGAGCGGAGUUGGGCAAUCUCCUUAAACUGUACCACGUUUAAAUAUAAACGCUAGAAAUAACAUUACUGUAAGCAGAAACAACUUACAGGUAGCUGCUUAAGUCAGCUACUGUUCUGUGUCUGAGUACCACGGCUUUCACGGGGCAUCGAUUAGUGGUGAACGACUUUAUGGCGUGUCCGUGCCGUAUUGUUGUAUACGGACUACUCUGCGUUUCAGCCCGCUUACCGGCGGUUGCUCAGGGGAAUUUUAAUAGGUAAUAUACGCUCGUAGAAAGUUGCAUGAAUGGACUUUCGGACAGGGGUUCAAUUCCCCUCGCCUCCACCA